GACGAACGCUGGCGGCGUGCCUAACACAUGCAAGUCGAACGGUGAACUAGGGAGCUUGCUCCUUCCGCAUUAGCGGCGGACGGGUGAGUAACACGUGGGCAACCUGCCUAGAACACUGGGAUAACCGCUGGAAACGACGGCUAAUACCGGAUACGACUCGGAAGGGCAUCCUCUCCGCGUGGAAAGAACUUCGGUUCGCGAUGAGCUCGCGGCCUAUCAGCUUGUUGGUGGGGUAACGGCUCACCAAGGCGACGACCGGUAGCCGGCCUGAGAGGGUGACCGGCCACACUGGGACUGAGACACGGCCCAGACGCCUACGGGAGGCAGCAGUGGGGAAUAUUGCACAAUGGGCGCAAGCCAGAUGCAGCAACGCCGCGUGAGGGACGACGGCCUUCGGGUUGUAAACCUCUUUGUGCAGGGAAGAAGCGAAAGUGACGGUACCUGCAGAAAAAGCACCGGCUAACUACGUG
RNAcentral lists this ribosomal RNA (470 nucleotides) under uncultured bacterium. Its description in RNAcentral is "partial 16S ribosomal RNA". It matches the Rfam family "Bacterial small subunit ribosomal RNA", at positions 28 to 507 of the family's 1533-position model. The record is from RNAcentral.